CGGGCUGUAGCUUAGGUUGGUAAAGCGCCUGGCUGGGGGCCAGGAGAGCGCAGGUUCAAAUCCUGUCAGCCCGA
RNAcentral lists this transfer RNA (74 nucleotides) under Kribbella speibonae. RNAcentral describes it as "Kribbella sp. YM55 tRNA-Pro". It matches the Rfam family "tRNA". From Rfam's summary of the family: Transfer RNA (tRNA) molecules are approximately 80 nucleotides in length. Their secondary structure includes four short double-helical elements and three loops (D, anti-codon, and T loops). The record is from RNAcentral. Lineage: Bacteria; Bacillati; Actinomycetota; Actinomycetes; Propionibacteriales; Kribbellaceae.